CCUACGGGUGGCAGCAGUGAGGAAUAUUGGUCAAUGGACGAGAGUCUGAACCAGCCAAGUAGCGUGAAGGAUGACUGCCCUAUGGGUUGUAAACUUCUUUUAUAUGGGAAUAAAAUGUUCCACGUGUGGGAUUUUGUAUGUACCAUAUGAAUAAGGAUCGGCUAACUCCGUGCCAGCAGCCGCGGUAAUACGGAGGAUCCGAGCGUUAUCCGGAUUUAUUGGGUUUAAAGGGAGCGUAGGUGGAUUGUUAAGUCAGGUGUGAAAGUUUGCGGCUCAACCGUAAAAUUGCAGUUGAAACUGGCAGUCUUGAGUACAGUAGAGGUGGGCGGAAUUCGUGGUGUAGCGGUGAAAUGCUGAGAUAUCACGAAGAACUCCGAUUGCGAAGGCAGUUCACUGGACUGCAACUGACACUGAGGCUCGAAAGUGUGGGUAUCAAACAGGAUUAGAUACCCCUGUAGUC
This 460-nucleotide ribosomal RNA is filed under the name uncultured bacterium. RNAcentral describes it as "partial 16S ribosomal RNA". It matches the Rfam family "Bacterial small subunit ribosomal RNA", at positions 338 to 795 of the family's 1533-position model. The record is from RNAcentral.